Molecule: ribosomal RNA, 1393 nt
Filed under: uncultured bacterium
Lineage: Bacteria
Description: bacterial SSU rRNA
Rfam family: Bacterial small subunit ribosomal RNA
Source: RNAcentral
AGAGUUUGAUCCUGGCUCAGGAUGAACGCUAGCGACAGGCUUAACACAUGCAAGUCGAGGGGCAGCACAGGUAGCAAUACCGGGUGGCGACCGGCGCACGGGUGAGUAACGCGUAUGCAACUUGCCUAUCAGAGGGGGAUAACCCGGCGAAAGUCGGACUAAUACCGCAUGAAGCAGGGGCCCCGCAUGGGGAUAUUUGCUAAAGAUUCAUCGCUGAUAGAUAGGCAUGCGUUCCAUUAGGCAGUUGGCGGGGUAACGGCCCACCAAACCGACGAUGGAUAGGGGUUCUGAGAGGAAGGUCCCCCACAUUGGAACUGAGACACGGUCCAAACUCCUACGGGAGGCAGCAGUGAGGAAUAUUGGUCAAUGGGCGAGAGCCUGAACCAGCCAAGUAGCGUGAAGGAUGACUGCCCUAUGGGUUGUAAACUUCUUUUAUAAAGGAAUAAAGUCGGGUAUGCAUACCCGUUUGCAUGUACUUUAUGAAUAAGGAUCGGCUAACUCCGUGCCAGCAGCCGCGGUAAUACGGAGGAUCCGAGCGUUAUCCGGAUUUAUUGGGUUUAAAGGGAGCGUAGAUGGAUGUUUAAGUCAGUUGUGAAAGUUUGCGGCUCAACCGUAAAAUUGCAGUUGAUACUGGAUAUCUUGAGUGCAGUUGAGGCAGGCGGAAUUCGUGGUGUAGCGGUGAAAUGCUUAGAUAUCACGAAGAACUCCGAUUGCGAAGGCAGCCUGCUAAGCUGCAACUGACAUUGAGGCUCGAAAGUGUGGGUAUCAAACAGGAUUAGAUACCCUGGUAGUCCACACGGUAAACGAUGAAUACUCGCUGUUUGCGAUAUACAGCAAGCGGCCAAGCGAAAGCGUUAAGUAUUCCACCUGGGGAGUACGCCGGCAACGGUGAAACUCAAAGGAAUUGACGGGGGCCCGCACAAGCGGAGGAACAUGUGGUUUAAUUCGAUGAUACGCAAGGAACCUUACCCGGGCUUAAAUUGCAGAUGAAUUACGGUGAAAGCCGUAAGCCGCAAGGCAUCUGUGAAGGUGCUGCAUGGUUGUCGUCAGCUCGUGCCGUGAGGUGUCGGCUUAAGUGCCAUAACGAGCGCAACCCUUGUUGUCAGUUACUAACAGGUUCUGCUGAGGACUCUGACAAGACUGCCAUCGUAAGAUGUGAGGAAGGUGGGGAUGACGUCAAAUCAGCACGGCCCUUACGUCCGGGGCUACACACGUGUUACAAUGGGGGGUACAGAGGGCCGCUACCACGCGAGUGGAUGCCAAUCCCAAAAACCUCUCUCAGUUCGGACUGGAGUCUGCAACCCGACUCCACGAAGCUGGAUUCGCUAGUAAUCGCGCAUCAGCCACGGCGCGGUGAAUACGUUCCCGGGCCUUGCACACACCGCCCGUCAAG